GCCUUACAUGCAGUCGAGCGGACAGAAGGGAGCUUGCUCCCGGAUGUUAGCGGCGGACGGGUGAGUAACACGUGGGUAACCUGCCUGUAAGACUGGGAUAACUCCGGGAAACCGGAGCUAAUACCGGAUAGUUCCUUGAACCGCAUGGUUCAAGGAUGAAAGACGGUUUCGGCUGUCACUUACAGAUGGACCCGCGGCGCAUUAGCUAGUUGGUGAGGUAACGGCUCACCAAGGCGACGAUGCGUAGCCGACCUGAGAGGGUGAUCGGCCACACUGGGACUGAGACACGGCCCAGACUCCUACGGGAGGCAGCAGUAGGGAAUCUUCCGCAAUGGACGAAAGUCUGACGGAGCAACGCCGCGUGAGUGAUGAAGGUUUUCGGAUCGUAAAGCUCUGUUGUUAGGGAAGAACAAGUGCAAGAGUAACUGCUUGCACCUUGACGGUACCUAACCAGAAAGCCACGGCUAACUACGUGCCAGCAGCCGCGGUAAUACGUAGGUGGCAAGCGUUGUCCGGAAUUAUUGGGCGUAAAGGGCUCGCAGGCGGUUUCUUAAGUCUGAUGUGAAAGCCCCCGGCUCAACCGGGGAGGGUCAUUGGAAACUGGGAAACUUGAGUGCAGAAGAGGAGAGUGGAAUUCCACGUGUAGCGGUGAAAUGCGUAGAGAUGUGGAGGAACACCAGUGGCGAAGGCGACUCUCUGGUCUGUAACUGACGCUGAGGAGCGAAAGCGUGGGGAGCGAACAGGAUUAGAUACCCUGGUAGUCCACGCCGUAAACGAUGAGUGCUAAGUGUUAGGGGGUUUCCGCCCCUUAGUGCUGCAGCUAACGCAUUAAGCACUCCGCCUGGGGAGUACGGUCGCAAGACUGAAACUCAAAGGAAUUGACGGGGGCCCGCACAAGCGGUGGAGCAUGUGGUUUAAUUCGAAGCAACGCGAGAACCUUACCAGGUCUUGACAUCCUCUGACAACCCUAGAGAUAGGGCUUUCCCUUCGGGGAC
This 995-nucleotide ribosomal RNA is filed under the name Bacillus subtilis. RNAcentral describes it as "bacterial SSU rRNA". It matches the Rfam family "Bacterial small subunit ribosomal RNA", at positions 46 to 1027 of the family's 1533-position model. Lineage: Bacteria; Bacillati; Bacillota; Bacilli; Caryophanales; Bacillaceae. The record is from RNAcentral.